Long non-coding RNA from Cavia porcellus (domestic guinea pig), 3995 nucleotides. Lineage: Eukaryota; Metazoa; Chordata; Mammalia; Rodentia; Caviidae. The record is from Ensembl.
GGACACCUGUGGAUGCGCGGUGAAGCUUUCUUUUCCUUUCUUUCUUUUUCUUUUUCUGUUCUUUUUCUUUUUGAGACAGGGUCUCGCUGCGCAGUUCAGGUUGCUUUUGAACUCACUAUGUAGUCUGGGAUGAUCUGAACUUUCAAGGAUCUUCCUGCCUCAGCAUCCUGAGUGCUGGGAUUACAGGCGUGUGCCACUACGCCUGGUUUGUGCCUUGAUGCUUUGCAUGCCUCGUAAGGAUGCUGCUCAUGCAUUUAAUAGAAACAGCAACAUUUUCUGAGAUGCCUUUACUCACAUGAAACAGUAUUGGAAGUGUUUAUUUUGUGUGGUGAAGGGUGUUCUGGGUCGAACCCAGGACACACAUAUGCUGGGUAAGUACUGAACUACAUCUUUAGCCCUUUUAAUUUUUUUUUUUUUUUUUUUUUUGAGACAGACUCUCAUUCAGCCCAGGCCCGUCUUGCAUUUCCGAUCCUCCUGCCACAGCCUCUAGAGAAGUUGGAACCACAGCUCCGUGCCACUGCGCCCAGCCUGUUUAUUUUACUUACAAGGCUGGUGCAGGCUAAGGUGGAGCAGAGCACUUCCUGGACCAGUCACGCUGUGGGUUGCAGGUGAGGACAUGGGCUGGGUUUCAGCCUCCACCGGGCCACUGCAGCAAGGAAUUGUGAAACCUGGUGGAGAAGGAAGGUGUGGCCUGACCCCAAAGGGGAGGGUGCGAGGAAGAGGCCCGGAGCGGGAAGCAGGAGUGGGAGGAGCCGCAGACUGGGAAGGGCUGGGAGGCGCGGUUCCCGCCUUCCGGGGACCCACCGCCAGCUGUUUUGGUGUCUGGGCGGAAGCUCCUGGUGUGGAGGAGUGAAGACACAGAGCCCAGAGCUAGAGAAAACGAAACCAGGUUCCUGUGACAGCAUUUAACUCCCCAUCCACCACAGCUUAAGCAGCAUCUACUCCUUGGACUGCUCAUUACUGUCCAUCCAUCCAUCCAUCCAUCCAUCCAUCCAUCCAUCUAUCAGCCGACCAUUCCAUCCAUUCUGUUGCUUGAGCCAGGUUGGAAGCUGGGCCUGGAACUCUUCUGUCCCCUCCUUUUGUCAGAAACCAGAGAAUCUUUGUGAUAUGAUUAUGCAUGAUGAUUAUGCAUUACGAUUAUGACUUUAUGACUUAUGACUGAUUAUGACUUUCUCCUAAGAACAAUUCUGAUCAAAUAACAUAGACAUCUGAAUAUCAGGAAACAAAAUGAGGGCCAGCUUGGUGGGCGAUAACAUUUAGACCCCCAAAAAAUGAUUCAAAGAAGGGCUGAGGAUUUAGCUCAGCAGCAUAAGCACCUGCCUUGCAAACAGACAGUCCUGAGUUCGAUCCCUGGUACCGAUAAAAAAAAAAAAAUGAUUCAAAGAAAAGGUUCUGGGCCGGGGGUUUAGCUCAGUGGCUUAAGCGCCUGCUUGGCAAGUGAAAGAUCGUGAAUUCAAUCCCCAAUACCAAAAAAAUAGAAAAGAACAGUUUCUUUCUAGUUAUAGAUGCCUUGGGUGAAAGUCUUGGGGCUGCACUUAUGCAAGAGUGAGUAUUUCUCUGGGCAGAAUUUCCUUCCAAGAGAACAGGAUUUCUUCGCAAUGUAGGCAAAAUUCUUGCUAAGGUUUGGAUGUUGGAUUACCUUAACAGCGUCCUGGGGCCAAUGGUUUUUAUCUUACAGCCACUAGCGAAGUCCUUCUGAUCUUGCUGACUUUCUCUGAAACUGACCAGUUUAACCUCACAGAGAAGAAAGGCCUGGAGGUCUCAGGGAUUCAGGGGAUCAGCUCGGCUCUCAGACAGAGCUAGCCGUCUGGGUGUCUGUUGGAUUUCAGUGGGAAGUGCUUUCAGUUUUAAAGCAGGAUUCAGAAUUCCAUGAUCUCAUAUUUUGUUAAUCCGGGUUUUCUGUUCAUUUCACCUGUGAAAGAUGACCUAGCCUUACAUUUGGUUAUCUGAUCUUUGACAAAAGGACCAAAAACAUAUGCUGCAAGAAACAUAAGCUCUUUAACAAAUGGUGUUGGGAAACCUGGUAAGAAAUGCAGGAGAUUAAAUCUAGACCAUAUCUCUUCCAUCUACUAAACCAAAAUCGAAAUGGAUCACAGAUCUAAAUGUUAAAAUAGAAGCCCUGUAUCUCCUGGAGGGUAAAACAGGCAAAACUCUUGAAGACAUAGGAAUAGAUAAGGACUUUCUACUUAUUUUUAAUUUAUUUAUUUAGACAGUCUCACUAUGUAGUGCAGGCUGAACUCACUAUGAAGCCCAAGCUCCCCUCAAACUCAGGGGCGAUCCUCCUGCCUCAGCCUGCCGAGUGCUGAGAUUAUAGGUGUAUGCCAGUAUCUCUGGCCACAUAAAGACUUUCUGAACAGUCUCAAUUGCAUAACAAAUAACAUCGUGAGUCAACACAUAGGAUUUUAGCAAAAUAAGCUUCUACAUUACAAAGGAAAUAACCUACAAAGUGAAAAGACAAUCUGAGGAAUGGGAAAAUUUUUUUUGCAGUUACAUCUCUGAUAGAGGACUAAGACUUAGAAUAUAUGAAGAGCUAGAAGAAAUUAGACUCAAUAAAAUAAAAGAAUUUUUAAAAAUGGCAACUGAAAUGAAUGGAUUUAUUUAUAAGUAUCCGAUAAAAUAUAGGUCACCAAUAAAUACAUGAAAAAAAUGUUCCACUUCUCUGGCCAUUAGAGAAAUGCAAAUCAAAACAAAACUGAGAUUGCAUCUUACUCCAGGAGGAAUGACUGUCAUCCUGAAAUCAGUAAUGAACGCUGGCAAACCUGCAGGGGUGGGGAACCCUUUUACGUUGCCUGUGGGAAUAUAAACUAGUCCAACCACUUUUGAAAUCAGUAUGGAGAUUCCUCAAAAAACUAAAAAUAGAAGUUCCAUUUGACUCAGCUCUUCCCCUUUUAAGUAUCUUCCUGAAAGAGUUAAAGGCAUGGUAUUAUAGGGACACAGGCAUAUGUGAGCUGGUGGCAGCACAACUUGUAACACCUAAGUCUUGGGAACAGCCUGUAUGUUCUUCAGCAAUGGGAUGGAUGAGGAAAAUGUAUUGUUUUUGUUUUUAUGGUACUGAGGAUCGAACUCACGACUUCACGCUUGCCAAGCAGAUGCUUAUGCCACUAAGCUAAAUCCCCACCCCUGGAAAAUGUAAUGAUGCACAGUGGAGUGCUGCUUCUUCUGUACAGAAGGAUAAAUUGAAUCACUUUUAGGAAAAUGGAUGCAAUUCGAGGUUAUAAUGUUAAAUGAAUCAGACACACAAGCUUAAAUAUCCCAUGGUUUCUCAUAUGAGUAGGAAAAAAGUAGAAAUAAAAAGCAAAAUAGGAGACAGAUAAUAGGAAACAGGGAGAUAGAUCUUUUGCAAAACAGAGGGAUCAAGAGAUGGAGGGAAGCGAGGGGAGGGGAAGAGAAUAAAGAAGAAUGAAAUGUGUCAUGUACAUGUACCAGCACCUGCGAUGACUGCAACCUUUGUGUAAUGCAAACAUUCACCAAUAAAAUUUUAAAAGAUAACAUUAAGAAAAAAACAACAGCCUGGUCUAAGACCCAGCACUUUGCAGACACUUGAUAAACUAUGGUUAUAUAAAUGGAGAAAGCAGUGGGUCAACAGAUAACCAUAGCCCCUGCAGUGUGGCUCUAACCUGCCAUUUCUUCUGACCAACCCAACUGGGACUUGAGUUAUUUGCAUCUUCACGGAUUUCCCCUGCUGUCGCAGAAUCACAGACACCGCGCUAUUUUGCAAGCUUAUCCCCCGCUUCUCACAGAUCUGGGCUAUAGAUACCAACUUUAUCAUGGCUUUGUUUUAUUGUCUCUCUGGAAAUUUUUUAGCCAUAAAGUGAAUUUAUGAUAUUUACUUGGGGCCGUCUAAGCUUUUUCUCUCCCAAGCAGUACCGUGUCUCCCUACAUGCUCUUUGGGAAAUGCCUUGGUGAUGAGAUGCUUUUCCUCUGAAGUUUGAAGCCAAUAAAUGAAGUCACAUAGCAAAUAAAAGUUUCUGUAUGUCUGUUAGAUUAUAAUUUCU